Molecule: ribosomal RNA, 466 nt
Filed under: Streptococcus sobrinus
Lineage: Bacteria; Bacillati; Bacillota; Bacilli; Lactobacillales; Streptococcaceae
Description: bacterial SSU rRNA
Rfam family: Bacterial small subunit ribosomal RNA
Source: RNAcentral
GACGAACGCUGGCGGCGUGCCUAAUACAUGCAAGUGGAACGCAUUGGUAACACCGGACUUGCUCCAGUGUUACUAAUGAGUCGCGAACGGGUGAGUAACGCGUAGGUAACCUGCCUGAUAGCGGGGGAUAACUAUUGGAAACGAUAGCUAAUACCGCAUAAGAGGAGUUAACUCAUGUUAACUGUUUAAAAGAAGCAACGGCUUCACUAUCAGAUGGACCUGCGUUGUAUUAGCUAGUAGGUAGGGUAACGGCCUACCUAGGCAACGAUACAUAGCCGACCUGAGAGGGUGAACGGCCACACUGGGACUGAGACACGGCCCAGACUCCUACGGGAGGCAGCAGUAGGGAAUCUUCGGCCUAUGGACGCAAGUCUGACCGAGCAACGCCGCGUGAGUGAAGACGGUUUUCGGAUCGUAAAGCUCUGUUGUAGGGGAAGAACGUGUGUAAGAGUGGAAAGCUUACACA